Long non-coding RNA from Strigops habroptila (Kakapo), 444 nucleotides. RefSeq lists it as uncharacterized. The record is from RefSeq and is a predicted model, not a curated record. NCBI's taxonomy places the organism in Eukaryota, Metazoa, Chordata, Aves, Psittaciformes, Psittacidae. The transcript is spliced from 3 exons.
GUUGUUUCCAGCUGGAAAUUGCUUGGAAAAUGAAGACACGUGUGUGAAUAUGUGUAACAGCAGGAGAAAUGUUGCAGCUCUCCAUGAUUUGUAAACCUGGAAGAUUUGUAGGGAUUUUUAUGUUUUCCUGUGCUGUUGAUUGCGCUGGGACUAAUACCAAGACAAUCGAGUACCUCCUUGGGUGGGCAGAACAAAAGUCACAGCACCCUCAGGAGAGAGACAGCGUGUGAUGAGGAGGGACGGCUUCGUGCGGGAGACAGGGCAGAGAUGGAGGAAACCUGGGUCCUGCUGCAGCACCCUUCCCGCUACCCUGAAGAAAGCAGAGAGGGUGCUGCUUCAAAUGUGCUGCUUCAAAUAAUCAUGAAGCCUGGAUUAUUCAGACAAAUUCUGGGGCAGACUUCUGGCUUUUAAAUGCUUCCUGGAAUGACUUUGUGAAAAAUGAGG